UAACAGGUGACGGGGAAUCAGGGUUCGAUUCCGGAGAGGGAGCCUGAGAAACGGCUACCACAUCCAAGGAAGGCAGCAGGCACGCAAAUUACCCACUCUCAGAACGAGGAGGUAGUGACGAAAAAUAACAAUACGGGACUAUUAAUAGGCCCCGUAAUUGGAAUGAGUACAAUAUAAAUCCUUUAACGAGGAUCUAUUGGAGGGCAAGUCUGGUGCCAGCAGCCGCGGUAAUUCCAGCUCCAAUAGCGUAUGUUAAAGUUGCUGCGUUUAAAAAGCUCGUAGUUGUAUCUCAGUUCAUGUCAAUUGGUCAAUCACUUAAUAGUGAUUACUUUUUGACUGAACAUUAAACCGAUUUGUUUUCUGAUGCUCUUUACCGAGUGUU
Molecule: ribosomal RNA, 382 nt
Filed under: Demodex folliculorum
Lineage: Eukaryota; Metazoa; Arthropoda; Arachnida; Trombidiformes; Demodicidae
Description: SSU rRNA
Rfam family: Eukaryotic small subunit ribosomal RNA
Source: RNAcentral